CACAGUCCCACACCACCAUGCCCAGAGACUCCCAGCUUUGGUGUCCUUAAGAAAGGGACUUACUGACUUCAUGCAUCUUUCAAGCAAAGAUUAACAACAAUGAUAAUAGAGUAAUAAGUUGGCCUGGAAUCUUGGCAAAACUGAAAACCACAUGUUCUGAGAGUCUCUUCCUGCGCUGGUAAUUAAGUUUCUUCCCCCUACAAAAUGAGACUCUUUUGGACCAACAGGCGUUAGGCAUGUGGACAUCUUGAUGGGAUCCCAUCUUCUCUUUUGAGGAUCAAAUCCUGGCCAACUUUGUUUGAUGUUCAGAGCCCUGUAUGGGAGUCAAAGCCUGCUAAUAAAGCAGUCGUGCCUGUUUGGAGUCAUUCUACAGCUCAGGACUUCAUCCCAGGAGGGAGGUGUAGUGGGUGACUCACUAACUGUAAUAUAAACAACGACAACAAAAGGGUCUCUGAGUCACACUGACAUUGUGGAAUCAAACAUAUAUCUCUGUGCCCUGACCCCCACCAAGGAUGCAGUCACACGGAUGUCCAGUUAUCUUCUAAUCAAUGCCCAGUCCAGAUGGUCACCACCCACCUCUGCAGCAAAAGUCACUGCGCAUUUGGAUAUCUACACAGCUUGUUUGUAACUGAGUUAGUGCAGCCUAGUAAGGUACAGAUGUUUUCCUUUUAAUCCUGUUUGUACUUUGAAAUGGUCACACUCGAUGUCAUUUGGCUGCAGGAAGCUCCUCCAGGAAUGAUCCCGCAAGAGAAAUGGGAUGUGCGUGGCACCAUCUGAUUCGGGGCAGCUCUGUCACUCCCUGCAGAACUGAGCACACUGAAUUUAUUUGAAUAGAACAGGUUAUGAGGGUGAGGAUAAACAUAUCAAUACCUCAUUUUUUUUUUGAACGCCGACUCUAUGAUCGGAUUACCUGGCCCUUCAAGAGAUGGAGUUCUGCUCGUCGCCCAGGCUGGAGUGCAGGGGCGCAGUCUUGGCUCACCACAACCUCUGCCUCCUGGUUCAAGCAAUUCUCCCGCCUCAGCCUCCCGAGUAGCUGGGAUUACAGCCACCCAAGACAUGCCUGCUUCCCGUUCACCUUCCACUGUGAUUGUGAGUUUCCUGAGGCCUCCCCAGCCGUACUUCCUGGACAGCCUGCAGAACCACAACAAACCAAACAAUAGGGCAAGCUCUGGUUUGUAGUGUCUGCUGAUUCCUGUGGUGUGAAUACUCCCACCAUGGCCAAUAUCAAGCUGCCAACAUGGUGUCACUAUAUGCAGACUUGGGAAGAGAUGCCUGCUAGCACAUCAUGGUACAGAAUCUCCACUCUGCGGAUAUAAUAGGUGCAAACCCCAAGAGCAGAGCAGAGCAAACAGCAAAAUAAUUAAGGAGUGAUAUGUUUUGAAUAUUCAUUAUCUUUGUUUUCAAUAAAAUUUAUUUAAUUGUAGGCUUUUACAGUCUAAUUUGUAUUUUCAUUUAUUUAUGUGUAUUUAUUUAUUUUUAUUUUAAAAAGUAAAGAUGAGGUCGCCCUAUGUUGCCCAGGCUGGUUUUGAACUCCUGGACUCAGGCAACCCUCCUGCUUUGGCCUCCCAAAGUGCCGGGAUUACAAUCAUGAGCCACUGCACCCAGCCAGUCUAAUUUCUAAUAAUGGCUAUGUUUAACAAGCAAUUUGCAAAAUUCCUGAAAAUGUAAGAAUUGACUCUUCUGAGCUGGCAGGAGCUGACUCCAGC
RNAcentral lists this long non-coding RNA (1706 nucleotides) under Homo sapiens (human). RNAcentral describes it as "HSALNT0118061". Lineage: Eukaryota; Metazoa; Chordata; Mammalia; Primates; Hominidae. The record is from RNAcentral.